GCCAGGCGUGGUGGCGCGUGCCUGUAAUCCCAGCUACUCAGGAGGCUGAGACAGAAGAAUCACUUGAACCCAGGAGGUGGAGGUUGCAGUGAACCGAGAUUGUGCCAUUGCACUCCAGCCUGGGUGACAGAGUGGGACUCUGUCUCAA
Papio anubis (olive baboon) is the source of this 148-nucleotide unclassified non-coding RNA. It matches the Rfam family "Metazoan signal recognition particle RNA". Rfam says of the family: The signal recognition particle (SRP) is a universally conserved ribonucleoprotein. It is involved in the co-translational targeting of proteins to membranes. Lineage: Eukaryota; Metazoa; Chordata; Mammalia; Primates; Cercopithecidae. The record is from Ensembl.